AGAGUUUGAUCCUGGCUCAGAGUGAACGCUGGCGGCGUGGAUUAGGCAUGCAAGUCGAGCGAUACCCUGGAUGGAGAGAUUGAAGCCGCAAGGCGGAUGUCGAUUUGUCCGGGGAUAUAGCGGCAGACUGGUGAGGAACACGUGAGUAAUAUACCUCCAAGUUGGGAAUAGCCUUGCGAAAGUGAGGGUAAUACCCGAUGUGUUUACGGCGGCGCAAGCCGCUGCAAGUAAAGGUGCACCGGCGAAAGCCGGGGUGCCGCUUGAAGAUUAGCUCGCGUCCUAUCAGCUAGUUGGUGGGGUAAUGGCCUACCAAGGCUUUUGACGGGUAGCUGGCCUGAGAGGGUGGUCAGCCACACGGGGACUGAGACACUGCCCCGACUCCUACGGGAGGCUGCAGUCGAGGAUCUUUAGCAAUGGGCGAAAGCCUGACUAUGCGACGCCGCGUGAGGGAUGAAGGUUUUCGGAUCGUAAACCUCUUUCGAUGGGGAAGAAUGUCCAGGCUUAACCGUCUGGAUUGACGGUACCUAGAGAAGAAGCCACGGCCAACUCCGUGCCAGCAGCCGCGGUAAUACGGGGGUGGCGAGCGUUACUCGGAUUUAUUGGGUGUAAAGGGCAGGUAGGCGUCCUGUCAAGUUUCAGGUGAAAUCCUGCGGCUCAACCGCAGAACUGCCUGAAAAACUGUCAGGAUUGAGGCCGGAAGAGGAGAGCGGAAUUCCCGGUGUAAGGGUGAAAUCUGUAGAUAUCGGGAGGAACACCAGUGGCGAAAGCGGCUCUCUGGUCCGGCUCUGACGCUGAACUGCGAAAGCUCGGGGAGCAAACAGGAUUAGAUACCCUGGUAGUCCGAGCCGUAAACGAUGAGCACUAGGUGUUGGGGAGCAAUCCUUAGCGCCGUAAGAUAACUCGUUAAGUGCUCCACCUGGGGACUACGACCGCAAGGUUAAAACU
RNAcentral lists this ribosomal RNA (945 nucleotides) under Zea mays subsp. mays (maize). RNAcentral's name for it is "bacterial SSU rRNA". It matches the Rfam family "Bacterial small subunit ribosomal RNA", at positions 8 to 901 of the family's 1533-position model. Lineage: Eukaryota; Viridiplantae; Streptophyta; Magnoliopsida; Poales; Poaceae. The record is from RNAcentral.